RNAcentral lists this ribosomal RNA (460 nucleotides) under uncultured bacterium. RNAcentral describes it as "partial 16S ribosomal RNA". It matches the Rfam family "Bacterial small subunit ribosomal RNA", at positions 338 to 795 of the family's 1533-position model. The record is from RNAcentral.
CCUACGGGAGGCAGCAGUGAGGAAUAUUGGUCAAUGGACGAGAGUCUGAACCAGCCAAGUAGCGUGAAGGAUGACUGCCCUAUGGGUUGUAAACUUCUUUUAUAUGGGAAUAAAAUGUUCCACGUGUGGGAUUUUGUAUGUACCCUAUGAAUAAGGAUCGGCUAACUCCGUGCCAGCAGCCGCGGUAAUACGGAGGAUCCGAGCGUUAUCCGGAUUUAUUGGGUUUAAAGGGAGCGUAGGUGGAUUGUUAAGUCAGUUGUGAAAGUUUGCGGCUCAACCGUAAAAUUGCAGUUGAAACUGGCAGUCUUGAGUACAGGAGAGGUGGGCGGAAUUCGUGGUGGAGCGGUGAAAUGCUUAGAUAUCACGAAGAACUCCGAUUGCGAAGGCAGUUCACUGGACUGCAACUGACACUGAGGCUCGAAAGUGUGGGUAUCAAACAGGAUUAGAUACCCGAGUAGUC